UACUGUGGCCAUACCAGCCUGUCAUUUCCAGAUCCCGUUAGAUCUUGGAAGCUAAGCAGGUCUAGGCCUGGUUAGUAGGUGGAUGGGAGACCACUGAGAAUUCCAGGUGCCACAGUGG
RNAcentral lists this ribosomal RNA (118 nucleotides) under Gouania willdenowi (blunt-snouted clingfish). The record is from RNAcentral. Lineage: Eukaryota; Metazoa; Chordata; Actinopteri; Blenniiformes; Gobiesocidae.